UACAGAGGUCUCAAGCGUUGUUCGGAUUCAUUGGGCGUAAAGGGUGCGUAGGCGGCGCGGUAAGUCGGGUGUGAAAUCUCGGAGCUUAACUCCGAAACUGCAUUCGAUACUGCCGUGCUUGAGGACUGGAGAGGAGACUGGAAUUUACGGUGUAGCGGUGAAAUGCGUAGAUAUCGUAAGGAAGACCAGUGGCGAAGGCGGGUCUCUGGGACGGUACUGACGCUAAGGCGCGAAAGCGUGGGGAGCGAACAGG
RNAcentral lists this ribosomal RNA (253 nucleotides) under uncultured bacterium. Its description in RNAcentral is "partial 16S ribosomal RNA". It matches the Rfam family "Bacterial small subunit ribosomal RNA", at positions 524 to 776 of the family's 1533-position model. The record is from RNAcentral.